AUGCAAGUCGAACGGUAACAGGAAGCAGCUUGCUGCUUCGCCGACGAGUGGCGGACGGGUGAGUAAUGUCUGGGAAAUGCCUGAUGGAGGGGGAUAACUACUGGAAACGGUAGCUAAUACCGCAUAAUGUCGCAAGACCAAAGAGGGGGACCUUCGGGCCUCUUGCCAUCGGAUGUGCCCAGAUGGGAUUAGCUAGUAGGUGGGGUAACGGCUCACCUAGGCGACGAUCCCUAGCUGGUCUGAGAGGAUGACCAGCCACACUGGAACUGAGACACGGUCCAGACUCCUACGGGAGGCAGCAGUGGGGAAUAUUGCACAAUGGGCGCAAGCCUGAUGCAGCCAUGCCGCGUGUAUGAAGAAGGCCUUCGGGUUGUAAAGUACUUUCAGCGGGGAGGAAGGCGAUAAGGUUAAUAACCUUGUUGAUUGACGUUACCCGCAGAGGAAGCACCGGCUAACUCCGUGCCAGCAGCCGCGGU
Molecule: ribosomal RNA, 476 nt
Filed under: uncultured Pseudomonadota bacterium
Lineage: Bacteria; Pseudomonadati; Pseudomonadota
Description: bacterial SSU rRNA
Rfam family: Bacterial small subunit ribosomal RNA
Source: RNAcentral